This is a long non-coding RNA of Danaus plexippus (monarch butterfly), 600 nucleotides long. RefSeq lists it as uncharacterized. The record is from RefSeq and is a predicted model, not a curated record. Lineage: Eukaryota; Metazoa; Arthropoda; Insecta; Lepidoptera; Nymphalidae. The transcript is spliced from 4 exons.
UUCGGGCACCUCACUACCAUUCAUUACAUCCGACCGACGCGAAUCGCGAUGCAGUCGCGACACUAGCCGUUCCAAAUUUUAAAAACUUUUCUUUUCAAAUUGCCCGCCCUUUUUGACAGGCUGUUCAUAUUGCGCGCCAUAUUUUUUUAGUUUUUGUUUUCUGGGCUGUGAUUUUUGAUUAAUCGUAUAAGGUUCCAAUAUGUCUCAAAACUGCAAAUCAACGUACUCCACGGCUACGACGAGGGACGCCAACAACAACACCCUGUACCAUGGAGGUGGCACACCAAGCUACGGCAGCAGAGGGUACACGCCACCUAGCGUCACCGGCGGGAACUAUCAGCAAGUGACGGCGAAAGUUCUCUUCGGCAGCGUGACGGCGAUCAAUGACCUCAAGCAGCAGAAGACCGGGCGGGACGAUCGGCGGACGCACUAGCGAGCUCUUGUGGCAGAUAACGAUUGUGAUAAGAAGAAAACAUGGAAGCUAAGGUGUGAUCUCGGGAGACAGAGUUAUAUUGUUUAUAAAAAUAUAUUUUUGUAUUAAUUGAUAGAUUUAGUUCAAAUACUCCGAUGUUAUACAAAAUAAAAUAAUUAUAUUAGUUA